Amphimedon queenslandica is the source of this 236-nucleotide long non-coding RNA. RefSeq lists it as uncharacterized. The transcript has 2 exons. NCBI's taxonomy places the organism in Eukaryota, Metazoa, Porifera, Demospongiae, Haplosclerida, Niphatidae. The record is from RefSeq and is a predicted model, not a curated record.
ACUGAACUGCUCACGCUUUAUUAAUCCAUAUCUUUCCCCAACUCUAAAAGAUCCUCCUUCAACUAUACUGAACUGGUAAGGAGACUUCAGUGGAGCUCUCACAAACUUGAGGCAACCAGUCUGACUAGAGUUCCUUAGAUCCACACAAUACUGAUAUUGCAUAUACUGCACUCACUAGCACAGUACCUUUGGGUACCUUGAAAUUACCACCAGCUAGUGCAGUAACAGCUACUUCA